This is a non-coding RNA of Schistosoma mattheei, 46 nucleotides long. NCBI's taxonomy places the organism in Eukaryota, Metazoa, Platyhelminthes, Trematoda, Strigeidida, Schistosomatidae. The record is from Rfam.
ACACUGUUGAAGAGUUCUACAAUAGGACGAAACAGUCGUCUAGUAU